RNAcentral lists this transfer RNA (86 nucleotides) under Candidatus Nomurabacteria bacterium. Its description in RNAcentral is "tRNA-Tyr". It matches the Rfam family "tRNA". From Rfam's summary of the family: Transfer RNA (tRNA) molecules are approximately 80 nucleotides in length. Their secondary structure includes four short double-helical elements and three loops (D, anti-codon, and T loops). Lineage: Bacteria; Candidatus Nomuraibacteriota. The record is from RNAcentral.
GCUGGGAUAGCGAAGUGGUCAAACGCAUCAGACUGUAAAUCUGCCGGCUCACGCCUUCGCAGGUUCGACUCCUGCUCCCAGCACCA